GCAACGAGCGCAACCCUCGUCCUUAGUUGCCAUCAUUUAGUUGGGCACUUUAAGGAAACUGCCGGUGAUAAGCCGGAGGAAGGUGGGGAUGACGUCAAGUCCUCAUGGCCCUUACAGGCUGGGCUACACACGUGCUACAAUGGCAUCUACAGUGGGCAGCUAUCCCGCGAGGGUGAGCUAAUCUCCAAAAGAUGUCUCAGUUCGGAUUGUUCUCUGCAACUCGAGAGCAUGAAGGCGGAAUCGCUAGUAAUCGCGGAUCAGCAUGCCGCGGUGAAUACGUUCCCAGGCCUUGUACACACCGCCCGUCACACCAUGGGAGUUGGAUUCACCCGAAGGUA
This 338-nucleotide ribosomal RNA is filed under the name Erythrobacter sp. RNAcentral's name for it is "bacterial SSU rRNA". It matches the Rfam family "Bacterial small subunit ribosomal RNA", at positions 1089 to 1429 of the family's 1533-position model. Lineage: Bacteria; Pseudomonadati; Pseudomonadota; Alphaproteobacteria; Sphingomonadales; Erythrobacteraceae. The record is from RNAcentral.